GGCCCUUCGGCGCGGCGUGCGCGCUCCCGGACGCGGAGGCGCCUUCUCUGCCCGGCGCCGGCGGCGCGGGCGCAGGCACGUCCCGGCUGGGCUGCAUUUGAGCCCGGGCCCGUGGAGCCGCAACCUGACAGUACCGGAGUUGAAGGAGCCGGGACGCGCAAAGGCGCGUGAGUGCUCGAGGCUGGUGGAACCCGGGAGAGGACCCGUGCCUGCGAACGGCCCGAGCAAGGUGGACUGAACUCUAAGAUUAAUCCUUCUGGAGAAGAUUAUGUUCUUGCUCAUAAGCCUGGUUUACAUAGUUCCCACUAAUCUUCAGAGAAGUCACCUCACAGAGCAAACUUUGCACCAGUCACUCUUUUCCGUCCUCCUUUCAAGGUUUGUGUGCACCUGAAGCGACCCCCUGUUGGUUGGUUCUGAGGGACUCAGAGAUUGAAGAGGGAAGUAACCUGCGGGAAUGAACGGGAACGCGCUGAGCACCGUAGUGCCCGUAUAUGAAUGGACACAAGGUACCCUCGAUUGCACCUUUUCGUCCUUUGGGGUAAUAGGUCUUGGAGUACAAAAAAAAAAGAGAGAGAGAAACAAGCCAACUCUUUUUCGCCAUAGAUGUAUCGAUUGAUCCUUAAACUGUCAAUAUUCUUCCUAGAUUGAACAGCCAAAAAUGACCUGUACAUUUUCUGAACCUCUUUGGCACUUUUUUUUUCUGUAGAUUUGUGACACUAAUAUAGUCAACCUUAUUUAGGUUGAUCUGUACAAUAUUUUGUCCCCCAGAAGAACCCUUGAGUAUUUUCCACGAUGGAUCACGCCUGAUAGGAAGUAUUCAAUAAAUGUGACUCCAAAGAGCUCAUGUGUUAGGCAAUGUAGAAAUGUUCAGAGGCGAAAGGAUUGGAUUAUGAGAACUGUAAAUAAAAGUGAAUAUAGUGCAGCAAGGAAUAAUUGUGUCCAGUGAUUUCAGCUCUAGGAUUACUUCUUUAGUUUAAAAUGCUCCGUUCUCUCCCACUUCAAUUCCCAAGCCCUUGUUUCUCCAUACAGAUCCAGAAGCUACUAAGAAAUGUGACAUUUGUCCAAGGGCCAUCUAAUCCCAAGUUUCUUUUUACCUGUUUUCCUAAGGUUUAUUUCUGAAGGUGCUGGGACAUAUCAAGAGUGUUCCAACUAUUUUGUGUUUUCCCUGUCUGCUGGGCUCCUUCCCAGAGGGCAUUUUAUUAAGCUCUGUAUUCCCAGAGCCUUCCUAGCCUUAGAGCCUAACUCAAUGAAUGCUGGUAGUGUUGGUGAUUGUUGUGGUUUGGAUCUAAAAAUGUCCUCCAAAGAGCUCACGUGUUAGGCAAGGUAGAAAUGUUCAGAAGCAAAAGAUUAGAUUAUGAGAACUGUAGCCUCAUGAGUGGAUUAAUCUAUUUGAUGGAUUAAUAAAUGGACUGCUGUGUGGUAACUAUAGGUAGAUAGGGUGUGGCUAAAAGAAGUAGGUCACUGGAGGCCUAAGACUGUAUCUUCCUUUCUCUCUUUGUCUCUCUCUCACUCUUACACUCUCUCAAGCCCAAAGCCAUAGAGUUGGCUGACAUGACUGAACCUCUGAAACUGUGACCCCCAAAUAAACUUUUCCUCCUCUAAGUUGUUCUUGUCAGGUAUUUUGGUCACAGCAAUGAAAAGCUAACAGUGAUACUUAAUAAAGUUAGAAUUAAAAUUAAAAAUUAAUGCAAAUUAUCUGUUGACUUCCUGAGACAAAUUUAGUUUCAGUUUUCUUCAAGUACUAAGAAUUGAAACCAGAGGCACUCUACCACCGAACUACACCCCCAAACCAUUUUAUUUUAUUUUUAAUUUAUUUCUAAGAAGGGUCUCACUAAAUUGCACAGGCUAACCUCUAACUUGUGAUCCUUCUGUCUCCACCUUCCAAACUGCUAGAAUUACAUGCAUGGGUCAGUCACCACACCCAACAACAUACAUGUUCUAUUUAUAAAUAUUCAACAAGUAGGUGCUAAGGCUCUACUAAAUAAAGUACAAUAAAGAUACACUGGGCACCAUCAGGAAAUCAACAAAUGGAAAAGCCACAAUUUCUGUCUUCUGAUAUUUUUUCACAAGAGCAGAGCUUUUUGACAAAAAGGACAAUGCUGAAAUAAUUAUCUUCAUUCAAUAAGAAAUUUAGCCAAAAAAAGAAAAGCAUAAAAUUUUUUUAUGAUGGAGACUCCAAAACAAAUUUAGUGUUCCC
This 2197-nucleotide long non-coding RNA is filed under the name Marmota monax (woodchuck). Lineage: Eukaryota; Metazoa; Chordata; Mammalia; Rodentia; Sciuridae. The record is from RNAcentral.